GACGAACGCUGGCGGCGUGCUUAACACAUGCAAGUCGAACGUGAUUUUUGUGGAAAUUCUUUCGGGAAUGGAAAUGAAAUGAAAGUGGCGAACGGGUGAGUAACACGUGAGCAACCUACCUUACACAGGGGGAUAGCCGUUGGAAACGACGAUUAAUACCGCAUGAGACCACAGAAUCGCAUGAUAUAGGGGUCAAAGAUUUAUCGGUGUAAGAAGGGCUCGCGUCUGAUUUGCUAGUUGGAAGGGUAAAGGCCUACCAAGGCGACGAUCAGUAGCCGGUCUGAGAGGAUGAACGGCCACAUUGGAACUGAGACACGGUCCAAACUCCUACGGGAGGCAGCAGUGGGGAAUAUUGCACAAUGGGGGGAACCCUGAUGCAGCGACGCCGCGUGAGCGAAGAAGGUUUUCGAAUCGUAAAGCUCUGUCCUAUGAGAAGAUAAUGACGGUAUCAUAGGAGGAAGCCCCGGCUAAAUACGUG
Molecule: ribosomal RNA, 478 nt
Filed under: uncultured bacterium
Lineage: Bacteria
Description: partial 16S ribosomal RNA
Rfam family: Bacterial small subunit ribosomal RNA
Source: RNAcentral